Eucalyptus grandis is the source of this 3281-nucleotide long non-coding RNA. RefSeq lists it as uncharacterized. The record is from RefSeq and is a predicted model, not a curated record. The transcript has 6 exons. Lineage: Eukaryota; Viridiplantae; Streptophyta; Magnoliopsida; Myrtales; Myrtaceae.
AAUAACUUCAGCUAGGGGGUUGUGUGUCAUUGAAAAAAAUCCCUAGCUCAAUUGGGAAUCUUUCUUCUCUCAAAGUACUGGACUAGAGGCUUGCAAGUCAUUGAGACAAAUCCCUAACUCAAUUGGGAAUCUUUCUUCUCUCAAAUACCUUAACCUUUACAGGUGUUGUUCACUAAAAGAAAUUCCUACCUCAAUUGGGGAUUUACCAAAUUUGCAAAGCAUUGGGGAUUUUUGACCUUGAAUAGUUACCCAUUGCUAUUGGAUGGUUGAACAAAAUGCCAAAGGCUAUUUCUUGAAUCUUGUGAUAGUCUAAAAGGGGAAAUUCCAAGAGAAAACGAUGACUUGUUUUCACUCAUGAUUCUCAAUAUCACUGGCACAUUGAUAUUUGACCUGCUAGAAAGCAUCUAGAAUCUUUCUUCUCUCUAAUGCCUUGACUAAGAGGGCUGUAAGGAGCUCGAUCGUUGCUAGAGCUUUCUUCCUAGGUUGCCAGAGCUUUUUAGUCCUAUUCCACUUGGAAGAACUUCAUUUUUAUGGAUACGAUCAACUCGAGUAUGUGCCAUUGCUUACCUCAAGACAUUUGAAACUUUGUGUUGACUCCUGUCCUAAGUUGAUAUUGCCUGAGCUUGAUGGAUUCUUGGAAGAGUUGUCAAUAAAACACUACAAUUCCCUUGAAAGAAUGGACCUCUCACAAUCGAAUCUUUUGAAAGGAUUGGACAUUGAGGAUUGCGAUAAUCUAGUUGAAAUUUAGGGCCAAGGUAAAUUGGAGUUCUUGGAGACAAUACAUACAUAUAGCUGCAAGUCCAUUAGAAGGCCGAUCCAUCCGAAAUUAUGAGGGCUUGAAGUGAUUAAAUACUUGCUAUUGCGACAAUCUAGUCGAAAUACAGGUCCUGAUAAGGUGGAGUUGUUACAGAUGUUCAAUGUCUUUAAUCAUGGUUCCAUCGAAAGAUUACUUGACCUACGAUGCUUUUGGAACUUGAAAGAGUUGAAUAUCAAUGGUUGUCAUUAUCUAUGUGGUGUGAAGACUCAAUUCCCAGUCUUACAUAAUUGCAAGAGUGGGGAAGUCGGUCCUAGAAGCUAACAUGAUGCUUCAGCCAAGAUCAAAAUUAAAUCUGACUGUGGUUCUUCAUAUGUUAGAAGGCGUUGUUCAUCUGCUAAUCUUCAAUCGGCAACUGUUGCAGAUAGAUUGGCAGCUUGUGAGGCAACAAAUGAAAAUUAAUGACAUAGGUCCGGUUGGUCUAUGUAAUGAUCAAGGCUUACUUUUGGACUUCAAUUCAAAGAGCUGUAUAGAUGACCUUUUGCAUAAUUGGGACAAUUUUUUGCUUGCUCUGUAAAACAAGCUAGGUGAGGAGCUUAAGAUUUUGCUCAUUAUUUUGCAUCCCGUUUGAUCCUGAUGUUGUCGUGGAAUCAUUUUAUCAAAUGAUUGAUUUGGGUCUAGCUAACUUGGCUAAGGCAAUUCAUAGUCCAUACCAGAGAACGAUCAAAUGAAGAAGAGGGAUUUUGCUGAGGUGUCAUCAGCAAAAGCUGAAGGCUAGCUUUUGUGCGACCUCGAACAGGCUCACGGGCCAAUUGGAGUGUCCAAAGGAUGUUUUUUAUGCUUGUGAAGAUCAAAGCACUUGAUAUGGUUUCAUCAGCAAUAAACUGAAUGAUUGUGAAUAUGCAGAGUUCUUUGAUGCAGUCGUAUAAUUCCCAAACUCAGUCAGGCUCUGCAGAUAGAGGUAUGCACUGCCAGUCCUACCAUAACUGUGAAAGAGUGACUUGUGUACUUAUAUUUAAUUGAAUGUGCUGUGUGCUUGUUAGGUUCUACCUCUCUAUUAAUCGAAUAUGUACGUGCUGAUUUUUCUGCAUGUUACCCUGAUGUGGAGUUGUUUGAUGUGGUCUCGUUCUAAUGAUAUCACUUUCAAACCCAAUGAGGCUCUGCAGAUGGAGGGUUUACAUUUGAUGAUGCGGUUCAAACUAUAAGAGACACACCUUCGGGUCGUACAAAAUUGCCUCAACUGAGUUGACAACAAAAUUGCAGCUACCACUGCUACCGGGACCUUCUCAUGUGGACUCCACUGCCACCUCAUCUGUGGUUUUAACUGGGGUUUAUACCGAUAAAUUGUUGUUACUCCCUGCAAUAACCGCCGACGAUCGUGGUGUACAUGGUCACAUCUAGCUCUCAGCCUGUGUCUUCCAAAUUCUUCAGCAAUCGAACGGCUUUUCCAGUAUCGCCAGUUCUGCACAAUCCCUCAUCAUGGCUUGGCAUGUGGUUAUAUCUACCUCGAUUGUCUGGCCAACACUUCAUCCGCCAAGCUCAUGGCUUUGGCGAUUCUACCCUCUCCAACGAGCCCAUUGAUCAAAGUGUUAAAAGCUCGCAGUUGUGGGUUCAAGUCCAAGUUUGACCAUUUUACACGAAACUGAGGACCCGAGAUCGGAUCUUUUCAAUUGGCAGAGGUAAUUCAUCAAAACGUUGCGAGUAGAACUGUUGGGAGUCGUUCCUUUCAAACCCGUCCGCUCGAUCAUGUCAAUGGUGACAGUGUAAUGCUUCAUCUUGGCCCCAACCCCCAAGAGUUGGGCGAAACAGGGAGGUAAAGUCAAGAGGGUUCACUCGAAUCGUCCUCUCCAAGAAGAAUAAAGCAUUGUCAGCUUCCACCAAUCCGCCAUUUCUGCAUUUGUUCACCACAAAGGUCACAAGUUCAGAUUGAUCCAUUGAAUCACUCACUCCAGCAGUGGAUGGGCAACCGUGGGAGGGACGUGAAAGAAAAUGGUUCAAUGCAAAGAUGGGAUGAGAAGUGAGAGGUUUAGCGAGAUCGCCAGAUUCUUGAACAAGACGGUGAAGAGCAGAAGUGAAAAUGGAUUGAUUCAUUAUCAUUAGUUUUGCCAAAUUUUCUCUCGAGUUCAAGAAUCCACAAAUUGACGUGAUGGCGUAUGGAGAGGAUAAUUACUAGGCAAUUCGAUCACUGAAACUUUAGAUGUCUGAUAACAACAUAAUUUUCGGUUCAAUCAUUGAAAACUACUUGAUUGGCAAACUGAACAUUUCUAGAAACGCUCUGAUCGAUUCAUUCCCGUACUCAGCAAUUGAAGAGAGGUCAGGAUGCAUAAUCAUGCUCUUAUACUGUUGUGAAAACAACUAUGAAAUCCACAUGUGAGACCAAAUCCGAAUGGAUUGAAAUCUCACACGACGAGAACGGUGAACACUAGAGGAGUCGAAGUAUUGCCUGUCAACAUGAAUGUUUCUAGUUUUACUACUAUCGGCCCAAAAAAUGAGAAAAUAAUACUAACGUUUUCUACUAUUGUCAUUA